Molecule: ribosomal RNA, 213 nt
Filed under: uncultured bacterium
Lineage: Bacteria
Description: partial 16S ribosomal RNA
Rfam family: Bacterial small subunit ribosomal RNA
Source: RNAcentral
UACGGAGGGUGCAAGCGUUGUCCGGAUUUAUUGGGUUUAAAGGGUGCGUAGGCGGUCUUGUAAGUCUGGGGUGAAAGCCCGUUGCUCAACAACGGAACUGCCUGGAAACUGCGGGACUUGAGUACAGACGAGGGUGGCGGAAUGGAUGCUGUAGCGGUGAAAUGCAUAGAUAGCAUCCAGAACCCCCGAUUGCGAAGCAGCUGCCUAGACUGU